This 1229-nucleotide long non-coding RNA is filed under the name Fragaria vesca (wild strawberry). Its description in RNAcentral is "long non-coding RNA (FVES_LNC004090)". Lineage: Eukaryota; Viridiplantae; Streptophyta; Magnoliopsida; Rosales; Rosaceae. The record is from RNAcentral.
AGUAUAAGCAGUAGAUAAUAGUGUAACACGUGACCAGUGUGUUAACACGUCAACCAACACCAUAAAGCAUAAAAAAGUAGUCUGCAAGUUGGUUGUAUCUAUCUACAUAGUUUGAUGUAAGAAUAGAAUGUUCACUUUUGUGUUAUUUAGCGUAGGAGGGUCUCACUCCUUAUUUAGCUAAAGAAUAAGCUUUCAAAACGAGCAAUGAGCAUUGCAGGGGGGCAAUGCGACAUCGAGGAAAGGCCGGUGCACCUCAAUUGCUUGAGGAAUUGACCGGACGAUCUCCAGGAAGUUGGAGUCGUGUUCGGGUGAUGUCAAUGUCCCCCAGGUCACCACCAUGCUUCAUGGUGAUGCUAGAUCUCGAAUGUCUUCGUUUUGAGCGGAAGAAUGGAUGUCCAUGAGAAUUUCUCAAAAUUUGGACCAUUAUAUCUCUUCUAGGUUGACCAAUUUGGUCAAACCAAAGCCUAUAUGAGUCGGUGUCCCAAAUAUCAUGUUUGGCGACAACAUGAGAUUCGAUAUUCGAAUCGUAGUGACAUACAGUUCACUAGAUUGACUCAUGAAUUUCUCCAAGAUGCGCUUCAGUUCGCAUUCAUGAGGAGGUAUACACAAAAGAAUUCUUGUUCAUUCUCAUAAUGUGUUUUCAAAUGAAAACCAUUAGCAUGAAUGUCUUUAAAGCUCAACAUGGUUCCUUAGAAUGUUGUGGAUAGUUCCACUAUCUGCGAAGCACUCAAUGUCUCUAUGAGACAUAACUACAAGGAGUAGAUAGGCGAGUAAAUAGUUCUACUUGAACCAUUUAGAAUGAUUGAAAGAAGCUACGAAAAGCUGCAAUCCCGAGAGUGCAUAAAAAUUUCCGCGCAGAAUGACCUUUGCGCACUAAAACAACCAUAACUUCUUCGUUAAAAUAGAUAUGGACAAACCGUGAAAAGUUCUGAAAACUAGACUCAUAGAGAUUUCCAAUGAUAUAAAGCUCACUGUCUGGUUCGUCCGGAGCUGUUCACAAAGCUCAAACGAAGUUAACUGUCCAGAAGAGACAGAUUGCUGUUUUUCGCAGAUUUGGCAUGUGCGAAGCUGUGAAGCUUGCAGGUGGCGUGUAGGCUUUUGCCUUAGCCAAAAGUGACGUGUGUAUGAUCAAAACCAAGUCCUUUCGAUCGUUCUAAGGUCGUAAACUCCAUGACUAGUUAGCAAAAGCUCCCUGACAUGAACAUAAACUAACUCAGAGGACCUAGAGG